This 497-nucleotide ribosomal RNA is filed under the name uncultured bacterium. RNAcentral describes it as "partial 16S ribosomal RNA". It matches the Rfam family "Bacterial small subunit ribosomal RNA", at positions 28 to 507 of the family's 1533-position model. The record is from RNAcentral.
GAUGAACGCUGGCGGCGUGCCUAAUACAUGCAAGUCGAGCGAACAGACGAGAAGCUUGCUCCUCUGACGUUAGCGGCGGACGGGUGAGUAACACGUGGAUAACCUACCUAUAAGACUGGGAUAACUUCGGGAAACCGGAGCUAAUACCGGAUAAUAUUAUGAACCGCAUGGUUCAAUAGUGAAAGACGGUCUUGCUGUCACUUAUAGAUGGAUCCGCGCUGCAUUAGCUAGUUGGUAAGGUAACGGCUUACCAAGGCAACGAUGCGUAGCCGACCUGAGAGGGUGAUCGGCCACACUGGAACUGAGACACGGUCCAGACUCCUACGGGAGGCAGCAGUAGGGAAUCUUCCGCAAUGGGCGAAAGCCUGACGGAGCAACGCCGCGUGAGUGAUGAAGGUCUUCGGAUCGUAAAACUCUGUUAUUAGGGAAGAACAAAUGUGUAAGUAACUAUGCACGUCUUGACGGUACCUAAUCAGAAAGCCACGGCUAACUACGUG